RNAcentral lists this ribosomal RNA (500 nucleotides) under uncultured bacterium. Its description in RNAcentral is "partial 16S ribosomal RNA". It matches the Rfam family "Bacterial small subunit ribosomal RNA", at positions 30 to 523 of the family's 1533-position model. The record is from RNAcentral.
AUUGAACGCUGGCGGCAUGCCUUACACAUGCAAGUCGAACGGCAGCACGGGAGCAAUCCUGGAGGCGAGUGGCGAACGGGUGAGUAAAGUAUCGGAACGUGCCCAGUCGUGGGGGAUAACGUAGCGAAAGUUACGCUAAUACCGCAUACGAUCUAGGGAUGAAAGCGGGGGAUAGCAAGACCUCGCGCGAUUGGAGCGGCCGAUAUCAGAUUAGGUAGUUGGUGGGGUAAAGGCUCACCAAGCCGACGAUCUGUAGCUGGUCUGAGAGGACGACCAGCCACACUGGGACUGAGACACGGCCCAGACUCCUACGGGAGGCAGCAGUGGGGAAUUUUGGACAAUGGGCGAAAGCCUGAUCCAGCCAUGCCGCGUGCAGGAUGAAGGCCUUCGGGUUGUAAACUGCUUUUGUACGGAACGAAAAGGUUUGGCCUAAUAAGCUGAGCUCAUGACGGUACCGUAAGAAUAAGCACCGGCUAACUACGUGCCAGCCGCCGCCGUAA